Molecule: non-coding RNA, 681 nt
Organism: Biomphalaria pfeifferi
Lineage: Eukaryota; Metazoa; Mollusca; Gastropoda; Planorbidae
Source: the annotation of a GenBank genome assembly
AAAAUGGUAUCAAUAAAAGUGUCCUAUUAAAACAUUGCCUAGUUUAAAUAGAAGGUUUAGUUACCCGUGUCACAAACAAGUAAUCCAUUCCCUAUUUUAUGUUCCAAAACAUCAAUUUACAAAAAGGGACAGUACCAUUACGCAAUAACAGUAGUAAGAAAUAAUUACUUCCCCGUUGCUCUUUGACGGUGAAUGAAAUAUUGUAAUUCAUUCAAUAAUAAAUGAACUAAAUCUUUCUGCAGCUUAAUGACUUAUUUUGUUACGUACUAAAGUUCCUGAAUGAAAGUUCACCUCGAUAGGACUAAUGAGAACUAGUUGCAUUAAAAGGGGACAUAGUGGCUGAGUGGUAGAGCGCUUGACUUCCGAACCGAAGGGUUCGAAUCUCGGUGAAGACUGAUUUUUAGUUUCGAGAUCGUUGUGCGCCUGUGAGCUCACCCAGUAUAAUAGGUACCCACAGAAACUCAUGACCUUCACAUCAUCUGCCUUAUAUACCGCAAGGUCUGAAAGGGGAACUUUACUUGUUACAAUAAAAUAUUUGAAAGUGUAAACUUACGAUAGGAAUGAAAAUUAAGUGCUUUAGUCUACUGCGAGUUAGGUUAAUUGAAAUAGAUAACUGAACUGUUUAAUGUUAAUAUUAAAUAAAUGUAAACACAUAUUUUAAAACUACUUUAAGAAAAAGAA